Molecule: ribosomal RNA, 492 nt
Filed under: uncultured bacterium
Lineage: Bacteria
Description: partial 16S ribosomal RNA
Rfam family: Bacterial small subunit ribosomal RNA
Source: RNAcentral
AGUGAACGCUGGCGGUAGGCCUAACACAUGCAAGUCGAACGGCAGCACAGUAAGAGCUUGCUCUUACGGGUGGCGAGUGGCGGACGGGUGAGGAAUACAUCGGAAUCUACUUUUUCGUGGGGGAUAACGUAGGGAAACUUACGCUAAUACCGCAUACGACCUACGUGUGAAAGCAGGGGAUCUUCGGACCUUGCGCGAUUGAAUGAGCCGAUGUCGGAUUAGCUAGUUGGCGGGGUAAAGGCCCACCAAGGCGGCGAUCCGUAGCCGGUCUGAGAGGCUGAUCGGCCACAUGGGAGCUGAGACAGCGUCCAUACGACUACGGUAGGCAGCAGUGGGGAAUAUUGGACAGUGGGCGGAAGCAUGACCCAGCCAUACCGCGUGGGUUGAGAAGGCCCUCGGGUUGUAAAGACGGUUUGUUGGGAAAGAAACGCAGCCGGCUAAUACGCCGCGGUUCUGACGGUACCUAAAGAAUAAGCACCGGCUAACUUCGUG